UACAGAGGUCUCAAGCGUUGUUCGGAUUCAUUGGGCGUAAAGGGUGCGUAGGCGGCGCGGUAAGUCGGGUGUGAAAUCUUGGAGCUUAACUCCGAAACUGCAUUCGAUACUGCCGUGCUUGAGGACUGGAGGGGAGACUGGAAUUCCUGGUGUAGCGGUGGAAUGCGCAGAUAUCAGGAGGAACACCGGUGGCGAAGGCGGGUCUCUGGGCCGACAUUGACGCUGAGGAGCGAAAGCGUGGGGAGCGAACAGG
This 253-nucleotide ribosomal RNA is filed under the name uncultured bacterium. RNAcentral describes it as "partial 16S ribosomal RNA". It matches the Rfam family "Bacterial small subunit ribosomal RNA", at positions 524 to 776 of the family's 1533-position model. The record is from RNAcentral.